UGUGUGUUAAUGCAUUAACAACAGUGUUUAUAAGGUUUUUUGCAAGCCCUGCCAUUAUCAGCUUCCUGCCAAUUCUUACGUUUGUGUAGACCCCUGUGGUCUCUGACUACCUCUCAAAACUUGGGCUAGUCCCUUGAAUUGCUGGCUGUGCUGAGUGCUGCAGGGAUUCAUGGCUGCCCACCCGACAAGUGCAACCUGGAUCUCUAUCCUUGUAAACAUCACAGGCGUUUUCCACCCCAGGAAUAUGUGAAUGCUGCUGUCAUCUUGAGUAGUUCAUGGAAAAUUAUCAGCAAUGAACUCCAAAAAGUUAGAGACCUCCUGAACAAAACACUUAAUGAUAUGGUGAUCUCCCAUCAGCACAGUGGAGAUGAUAGAGUAUCUAUGAUGAGUCAUCACGGUCUUCCAGGAGCAAAGAGAAACUAAGUGGAAUGAGAAAUUUGACCUUUAAGCUGCAAUGCUAAAGAAUCACUGAGAGUUCAUGUCGCAGAAUCCCUUCAGCAGCUGAAUGGAGAGGCUGCCAUUGGCUUUGCCAUAAAAUGGGCAAUUAAAAAUAUUUUCCCAAAAGCUACCUGUCAGAGAAACUGCAAGAUCAUCAUUGUUGCAUCUGCUGGAGAACCCAGUGAAAUCCAGUUGAAAGUGUGAAUUUUUUUCCAUAGUCAUGUUCCUGGUGUAUCUGUUCAUAUUUUGGUUUUGUGUUUGUUUUUAAUUAGUGAACAGAAACUGCUGACCCUGUAACGUGUUCAUAAAAAGAUCCCAGAGAAGGCUUCUCAUGGUGAGAGCCACAAAGAGGUGUGAAGGAUGUAUAAAUGGGAGACAGACUCUUUUCUUUAAUUGCUUAGCAGAGUCUUGAUAGAAUAGCUUCAGAGGAAAUAACAUACUGCAACUGACCCAACACCCUGGCUUUCCACUAUGGCCAGCAAAUGGAUGUUGAAAAGAAAUAAAUUUUUAAUUAAAAAAAAAAA
This is a non-coding RNA of Phalacrocorax carbo (great cormorant), 962 nucleotides long. The record is from RefSeq and is a predicted model, not a curated record. NCBI's taxonomy places the organism in Eukaryota, Metazoa, Chordata, Aves, Suliformes, Phalacrocoracidae.